Molecule: unclassified non-coding RNA, 245 nt
Filed under: Glomus sp.
Lineage: Eukaryota; Fungi; Glomeromycota; Glomeromycetes; Glomerales; Glomeraceae
Description: partial contains 5.8S ribosomal RNA and internal transcribed spacer 2
Rfam family: 5.8S ribosomal RNA (bases 1-65)
Source: RNAcentral
GUGAAUCAUCAAAUUUUUGAACGCAAAUUGCACUCUCUUCGAAGAGUAUGCGUGUUUGAGGGUCAGCCUAAGAAAAAUCGACAUAGUGGCUGUUUCGCGGUUACAUUCGUCGGAAAUUGGGUUAGCGUAAACCUUUUGUUGUUAAGCGGCUUAAAAUUUUCUUUACGAUUCCACUAACGUUUCUUAAGUUUACUUACACGUUUAAGGUAUCGAGCUUUAUGAGACGUGGCCGUUGCAUCGUAUCG